GGAGACGUGGCUGAGUGGUUGAAAGCGGCACCGUGCUAAGGUGUUAGGGGAGCAAUCCCCUCGUGAGUUCGAAUCUCACCGUCUCCG
Molecule: transfer RNA, 87 nt
Filed under: Patescibacteria group bacterium
Lineage: Bacteria
Description: tRNA-Ser
Rfam family: tRNA
About the family: Transfer RNA (tRNA) molecules are approximately 80 nucleotides in length. Their secondary structure includes four short double-helical elements and three loops (D, anti-codon, and T loops). Further hydrogen bonds mediate the characteristic L-shaped molecular structure. tRNAs have two regions of fundamental functional importance: the anti-codon, which is responsible for specific mRNA codon recognition, and the 3' end, to which the tRNAs corresponding amino acid is attached (by aminoacyl-tRNA synthetases). tRNAs cope with the degeneracy of the genetic code in two manners: having more than one tRNA (with a specific anti-codon) for a particular amino acid; and 'wobble' base-pairing, i.e. permitting non-standard base-pairing at the 3rd anti-codon position.
Source: RNAcentral